This 253-nucleotide ribosomal RNA is filed under the name uncultured bacterium. RNAcentral's name for it is "partial 16S ribosomal RNA". It matches the Rfam family "Bacterial small subunit ribosomal RNA", at positions 524 to 776 of the family's 1533-position model. The record is from RNAcentral.
UACAGAGGGUGCGAGCGUUAAUCGGAAUUACUGGGCGUAAAGCGUGCGUAGACGGUAGCGUAAGUCAGAUGUGAAAGCCCCGGGCUCAACCUGGGAACUGCAUUUGAGACUGCUCUGCUCGGGUGCGGAAGAGGGAAGCGGAAUUUCCGGUGUAGCGGUGAAAUGCGUAGAUAUCUGGAGGAACACCGGUGGCGAAGGCGGCAUCCUGGACCGAUAUUGACGCUGAGGAGCGAAAGCUAGGGGAGCAAACGGG